RNAcentral lists this non-coding RNA (30 nucleotides) under Mus musculus (house mouse). Lineage: Eukaryota; Metazoa; Chordata; Mammalia; Rodentia; Muridae. The record is from RNAcentral.
UCUGACAUUGGUAGGCAGAAGCAGGGGUGU